AGCGAACGCUGGCGGCAGGCCUAACACAUGCAAGUCGAACGGAUCCUUCGGGAUUAGUGGCGGACGGGUGAGUAACACGUGGGAACGUGCCCUUUGGUUCGGAACAACUCAGGGAAACUUGAGCUAAUACCGGAUGUGCCCUUCGGGGGAAAGAUUUAUCGCCAUUGGAGCGGCCCGCGUCUGAUUAGCUAGUUGGUGGGGUAAAGGCCCACCAAGGCGACGAUCAGUAGCUGGUCUGAGAGGAUGAUCAGCCACAUUGGGACUGAGACACGGCCCAAACUCCCACGGGAGGCAGCAGUGGGGAAUCUUGCGCAAUGGGCGAAAGCCUGACGCAGCCAUGCCCCGUGAAUGAUGAAGGUCUUAGGAUUGUAAAAUUCUUUCACCGGGGACGAUAAUGACGGUACCCGGAGAAGAAGCCCUGGCUAACUUCGUGCCAGCCGCCGCAGUAA
RNAcentral lists this ribosomal RNA (449 nucleotides) under uncultured bacterium. RNAcentral describes it as "partial 16S ribosomal RNA". It matches the Rfam family "Bacterial small subunit ribosomal RNA", at positions 29 to 523 of the family's 1533-position model. The record is from RNAcentral.